Acanthosepion pharaonis is the source of this 103-nucleotide non-coding RNA. NCBI's taxonomy places the organism in Eukaryota, Metazoa, Mollusca, Cephalopoda, Sepiida, Sepiidae. The record is from the annotation of a GenBank genome assembly.
CAGCCACAUCACAUUGAAACACCAGUUUGCAUAUAAUCAUCGAAGUUAAGCAACAUUGUGCCUGGUCAGUAGCUAGAUGGGUGACUGCUUGGGAAUACCAGGU